CCUACGGGAGGCAGCAGUGGGGAAUCUUGCGCAAUGGGCGAAAGCCUGACGCAGCCAUGCCGCGUGAAUGAUGAAGGUCUUAGGAUUGUAAAAUUCUUUCACCGAGGACGAUAAUGACGGUACUCGGAGAAGAAGCCCCGGCUAACUUCGUGCCAGCAGCCGCGGUAAUACGAAGGGGGCUAGCGUUGCUCGGAAUUACUGGGCGUAAAGGGAGCGUAGGCGGAUAGUUUAGUCAGAGGUGAAAGCCCAGGGCUCAACCUUGGAAUUGCCUUUGAUACUGGCUAUCUUGAGUACGGAAGAGGUAUGUGGAACUCCGAGUGUAGAGGUGAAAUUCGUAGAUAUUCGGAAGAACACCAGUGGCGAAGGCGACAUACUGGUCCGUUACUGACGCUGAGGCUCGAAAGCGUGGGGAGCAAACAGGAUUAGAUACCCUGGUAGUCCACGCUGUAAACGAUGAGUGCUAGUUGUCGGCAUGCAUGCAUGUCGGUGACGCAGCUAACGCAUUAAGCACCUCCGCCGUCGGGAGGUACGGUCGCGAAGAAGUUAAAACGUUAAAAGGUAAAGUUAGUACGGACGUGAGACGUCGCCGACGGACGACGACGAGGGAGAGG
Molecule: ribosomal RNA, 611 nt
Filed under: uncultured bacterium
Lineage: Bacteria
Description: bacterial SSU rRNA
Rfam family: Bacterial small subunit ribosomal RNA (bases 1-518)
Source: RNAcentral